Molecule: small nuclear RNA, 104 nt
Organism: Ictidomys tridecemlineatus (thirteen-lined ground squirrel)
Lineage: Eukaryota; Metazoa; Chordata; Mammalia; Rodentia; Sciuridae
Source: Ensembl
ACACCCCUUUCAGCAGCAUGCACACUAAAAUUGGAACAAUACAGAGAUUAGUGUGUUCCCUGUGCAUAGAUGGCACAUAAAUUUAUAAAGCAUUUCAGACUUUU